Molecule: microRNA, 23 nt
Filed under: Drosophila pseudoobscura
Lineage: Eukaryota; Metazoa; Arthropoda; Insecta; Diptera; Drosophilidae
Description: dps-miR-2554-5p
Source: miRBase by way of RNAcentral
UAGGCCAGUGAUUUCACAGUACG